GUGCUUGCUUCGGCAGCACAUAUACUAAAAUUGGAACAGUACAGGGAAGAGUAGCAUGGUCCCUGUGCAAGGAUGUCAUGCAAAUUCAUGAGGCAUUAUAAAAGAAG
Rattus norvegicus (Norway rat) is the source of this 107-nucleotide small nuclear RNA. NCBI's taxonomy places the organism in Eukaryota, Metazoa, Chordata, Mammalia, Rodentia, Muridae. The record is from Ensembl.